AACAGGACAAGCGUCUCUUCAUGCACGAAAUACAGAAUCGUGAAAUAGAGCCUUGCUACUCAGUACUCACGCGGGCAAUAGGAAGUUCUAAGUUUCUUUACAAAUCACUAACUCUUGAGCUCAGAAUCAAUUGUUUGACGGGUAUAAAUUGGAUUGGGGUCUACGUAUUGGCUCAAGGAGUAUUGAGGAACCGGAUUUGCAGGCGAGCAGGCUACGAGUUA
Molecule: non-coding RNA, 221 nt
Organism: Nicotiana tabacum (common tobacco)
Lineage: Eukaryota; Viridiplantae; Streptophyta; Magnoliopsida; Solanales; Solanaceae
Source: RefSeq, a predicted model, not a curated record